ACUGUAGACGUGCCAUUGAUACUGUUAGUCUUGAGUAUGGUCAAGGUAGGCGGAAUGUGUAAUGUAGCGGUGAAAUGCUUAGAUAUUACACAGAACACCGAUUGCGAAGGCAGCUUACUGGACCAUUACUGACGCUGAUGCACGAAAGCGUGGGGAGCGAACAGGAUUAGAUACCCUGGUAGUCCACGCCGUAAACGAUGAUCACUCGCUGUUGGCGAUACACAGUCAGCGGCUAAGCAAAAGCAUUAAGUGAUCCACCUGGGGAGUACGGCCGCAAGGCUGAAACUCAAAGGAAUUGACGGGGGCCCGCACAAGCGGAGGAACAUGUGGUUUAAUUCGAUGAUACGCGAGGAACCUUACCUGGGCUUAAAUGUAGACUGCAUUAGUGGGAAACCAUUAUUUUCUUCGGAACUGUUUACAAGGUGCUG
This 428-nucleotide ribosomal RNA is filed under the name uncultured bacterium. RNAcentral's name for it is "bacterial SSU rRNA". It matches the Rfam family "Bacterial small subunit ribosomal RNA", at positions 612 to 1043 of the family's 1533-position model. The record is from RNAcentral.